This 432-nucleotide ribosomal RNA is filed under the name Aeromonas taiwanensis. RNAcentral's name for it is "bacterial SSU rRNA". It matches the Rfam family "Bacterial small subunit ribosomal RNA", at positions 94 to 522 of the family's 1533-position model. The record is from RNAcentral. Lineage: Bacteria; Pseudomonadati; Pseudomonadota; Gammaproteobacteria; Aeromonadales; Aeromonadaceae.
GCGGCCGGUCGGGUGAGUAAUGCCUGGGAAAUUGCCCAGUCGAGGGGGAUAACAGUUGGAAACGACUGCUAAUACCGCAUACGCCCUACGGGGGAAAGCAGGGGACCUUCGGGCCUUGCGCGAUUGGAUAUGCCCAGGUGGGAUUACCUUGUUGGUGAGGUAAUGGCUCACCAAGGCGACGAUCCCUAGCUGGUCUGAGAGGAUGAUCAGCCACACUGGAACUGAGACACGGUCCAGACUCCUACGGGAGGCAGCAGUGGGGAAUAUUGCACAAUGGGGGAAACCCUGAUGCAGCCAUGCCGCGUGUGUGAAGAAGGCCUUCGGGUUGUAAAGCACUUUCAUCGAGGAGGAAAGGUUGGUAGCUAAUAACUGCCAACUGUGACGUUACUCGCAGAAGAAGCACCGGCUAACUCCGUGCCACCAGCCGCGGUA